RNAcentral lists this unclassified non-coding RNA (1384 nucleotides) under Leishmania donovani. Its description in RNAcentral is "gene:LdHU3.18.0810(CDS-product:Dpy-30_motif_conta ining_protein_putative)". The record is from RNAcentral. Lineage: Eukaryota; Euglenozoa; Kinetoplastea; Trypanosomatida; Trypanosomatidae.
CAGCACACAGAUGCCGUGCGCAACCUUGCGAAGAUCCGCUGCAGUAGGCUCUUGCCCCCAAGUGCGACGUAUCCCUUGUCUUUCCCUCUCUCGCUGCGCAGAACCGCUUUCAGCCACCCACCCACCCCCCGACCCCAACAGCAACAGCGACCGUCGAUGUUCAGCACCACCGCUGCGGAUGCCUCCCUUGAGGCGGUGGACGCGGAGACGAUGCACGCCUUUCGCAUGCAUCUGGGAGACGUGCCCAGAGGCGCGAUGGCGGCAACAACGCAGGAGGCGCCGAGCACACCUGCCGGGUUAAAGGGGACCUCCUCGUCCGCCUUUCUGUCAAGCGCGUUUUCUGGUGUGACAGCCGGAUACAGCAAAGACGAUGCCGGCGCCGACGACGAAAUCCCCGAGUACGCUCUCCCCGAUGCGCAGUACAUUGAGCGCACGAUACUCCCCCUGUUGCUGCGUGGGUUGGAGGUGGUCGCGCAAGCUCGCCCGCCUGACCCACUCGCCUUCCUUGGUGCCUACAUGAUCUGCAACAACCCCCAGAAGCCGUCGUCUAAGAAUGCUCCAGCCUCGGCAAAUAGCCUUGAGAAAGCGAAGCCCACCUGUGUAAGUGCGCCGGCCGACGACUCCGCUUCUCCUGCGCUGGCAGAGGCAGUGAAGCAGGCCAUGAGCCGCUUUUCCGCCUCCAAGAGCAACACCAGCGCCGCCUCGAAACCUACCACGGCUGCCAGGUGCGCUCCUUCCGUGGACACGAAAAAAACCUAGCAGCGCUGCAAGUCGCACGCGUGUUGUCAUUGUGAUCCGGCUUCCCACCGUCCGCGCUGACUAGUGAUUUUUUUCGCGUGCCCGUUGCUUCUUUAUGUGUUAUCCACGAUGUACAAGAGCAGCGUCAGCGGCGGAUGCUGCAGUGCAGCGAAGAAAACGGAAAACACAGAGAGGUUGACCGCCCCCACGGUGUACUGGGCAUAUGUAUCGUCUCGCCCUGUAUCGCAGAGCUGGCGCCGCUGCGCCUCCUCCCUUGCUCCCGGAGAUGGUAUGCGCGCCUCUCGCCAGGGAGGAACGGGGCCACGCUCAGUUGCAGGAGUGCAUGCGCAUGCUUGCCGCGCACGCGCGAUAAGUGAAGGGGGAAAACGAGAAGACGAGCGGCGCUUUCUACACUCGCCAUGCUGCAUUACAGUGCCUCUGCGAUCAGAGACGAGCGAUUCAGCUUCCGCAUCGACUCCUACUCGCACAAAGCCCCACCAACGCCCAGCACCCACCUCAUUCCCUUCUCGGCCUUCCUCCCUGCCUUUUUUCUCUCCCGGCCUACUUUUCCUUCGUUGGUUUCCGUCCAUUUACCUCGGCACGUUAUGUGGCGUUGCCGUCCUCCCAUCGUCGUGAUCAUGAGCAG